AGAGAAUAGAUACCCUGGUAGUCCACGCUGUAAACGAUGAGUGCUAGGUGUUGGCCAGCGAUGGUCAGUGCCGAAGUAAACACAAUAAGCACUCCGCCUGGGGAGUGCGGUCGCAAGACUGAAACUCAAAGGAAUUGACGGGGACCCGCACAAGCAGCGGAGCAUGUGGUUUAAUUCGAAGCAACGCGAAGAACCUUACCAAGGCUUGACAUCCCCUUGACCGGCACAGAGAUGUGCCCUCUCCUUCGGGAGCAAGGGUGACAGGUGGUGCAUGGUUGUCGUCAGCUCGUGUCGUGAGAUGUUUGGAUUAAGUCCCGCAACGAGCGCAACCCUUAUCCUUAGUUGCCAGCAAGUAAUGUUGGGCACUCUAGGGAGACUGCCGAUGAUAAAUCGGAGGAAGGUGGGGAUGACGUCAAAUCAUCAUGCCCCUUAUGUCUUGGGCUACACACGUGCUACAAUGGUCGUACAACGGGAAGCGAAAGAGUGAUCUGGAGCAAAUCCCAAUAAA
This 508-nucleotide ribosomal RNA is filed under the name uncultured bacterium. RNAcentral describes it as "bacterial SSU rRNA". It matches the Rfam family "Bacterial small subunit ribosomal RNA", at positions 774 to 1281 of the family's 1533-position model. The record is from RNAcentral.